CCUACGGGAGGCAGCAGUAGGGAAUCUUUCACAAUGGGCGAAAGCCUGAUGGAGCAACGCCGCGUGCAGGAUGAAGGCCUUCGGGUUGUAAACUGCUUUUAUAAGCGAGAAAUAUGAUGGUAACUUAUGAAUAAGGAUCGGCUAACUACGUGCCAGCAGCCGCGGUCAUACGUAGGAUCCGAGCAUUAUCCGGAGUGACUGGGUGUAAAGAGUUGCGUAGGUGGCAUAAUAAGUAGCUAGUGAAAUCUGGUGGCUCAACCAUUCAGACUAUUAGCUAAACUGUUAAGCUCGAGACCGUUAGGGGUAACUGGAAUUUCUAGUGUAGGAGUGAAAUCCGUAGAUAUCGAGAGGAACACUCGUGGCGAAGGCGGGUUCCUGGACAUUAACUGACGCUGAGGCACGAAGGCCAGGGGAGCGAAAGGGAUUAGAUACCCGGGUAGUC
This 442-nucleotide ribosomal RNA is filed under the name uncultured bacterium. RNAcentral's name for it is "partial 16S ribosomal RNA". It matches the Rfam family "Bacterial small subunit ribosomal RNA", at positions 338 to 795 of the family's 1533-position model. The record is from RNAcentral.